AGAGUUUGAUCCUAGCUCAGGAUGAACGCUGGCGGCGUGGAUAAGUCAUGCAAGUCGAGCGAACUAGUUGCUGGUCACUAGUUGCUAGUUGCUGGUAGUCGCAAAUGCGAUUAACCAGUCAUUAGUUACCAGUUACCAGUAACUAGUUAGCGGCAGACGAGGUAGUAAUAAUUAAGUAUGUACCAGAGAGUCGGGCAUAGCUAUCCGAAAGGGUAGGUAACUCCCGAUGGUCCCUACUUCGCUCAUUGCUUCGCAUGAGCUUCGUAGGGCAGGCUCUUAAGAGCUUGCCCUUCGUAGCUCGCUUGCGAAGCAGCGAGCGGAGUAGGGUAAAAAUUUAUUGCUCUCUGAACAGCUUGAUCGGUAUCAGCUAGUUGGUGAGGUAAAAGCUCACCAAGGCUAUGACGCCUAGGGGACCUGAGAGGGUGACCCCCACCGAUGGGACUGAGACACGGCCCAUACACCUACGGGUGGCUGCAGACGAGAAUAUUCCGCAAUGGACGAAAGUCUGACGGAGCGACGCCGCGUGGAGGAUGAAGUGCUUCGGCAUGUAAACUCCUUUUGCCAGGGAAAAAGUUAUUGAUGGUACCUGGAGAAUAAGAGGUUGCUAAACUCGUGCCAGCAGCAGCGGUAAUACGAGUGCCUCGAGCGUUAUCCGGAAUUAUUGGGCGUAAAGGGUGUGUAGGCGGUAGUGUUAGUCUUGUGUUAAAUCUCUUGGCUCAACCGAGAGUCUGCACGGGAAACGGCACAACUAAGAGGAUGGAAGGGGUCUCUGGAACUCAUGGUGUAGCGGUGAAAUGCGUUGAUAUCAUGGGGAACACCGAAAGCGAAGGCAAGAGACUGGUCCACUCCUGACGCUGAAACACGAAAGCGUGGGUCGCGAAUGGGAUUAGAUACCCCAGUAGUCCACGCCCUAAACGAUGAUCUCUAGAUUUGGGGAGUAUCGACCCUCUCCGAGUCGUAGCAAACGCGUUAAGAGAUCCGCCUGGGUAGUACGGCCGCAAGGUUGAAACUCAAAGGAAUAGACGGGGACUUGCACAAGCGGUGGAACAUGUGGUUCAAUUCGACGCUAAACGAAGAACCUUACCAGGGUUAGAAAUCCAUUCGAAGACUGGCAGAAACGUCAGUCGCCGCAAGGCGGAUGGACAGGUGCUGCAUGGCUGUCGUCAGUUCGUGGUUUG
Molecule: ribosomal RNA, 1178 nt
Filed under: Candidatus Taylorbacteria bacterium RIFCSPLOWO2_12_FULL_44_9
Lineage: Bacteria; Candidatus Tayloriibacteriota
Description: bacterial SSU rRNA
Rfam family: Bacterial small subunit ribosomal RNA
Source: RNAcentral